Molecule: ribosomal RNA, 253 nt
Filed under: uncultured bacterium
Lineage: Bacteria
Description: partial 16S ribosomal RNA
Rfam family: Bacterial small subunit ribosomal RNA
Source: RNAcentral
UACGUAGGGUGCGAGCGUUACUCGGAAUUACUGGGCGUAAAGCGUGCGCAGGCGGUUUUGUAAGCCAGAUGUGAAAUCCCCGGGUUUAACCUGGGAAUGGCAUUUGGGACUGCAAGGCUUGAGUUUGGCAGAGGAGACUGGAAUUCCUGGUGUAGCAGUGAAAUGCGUAGAUAUCAGGAGGAAUACCGAUGGCGAAGGCAGGUCUCUGGGCUAGAACUGACGCUCAUGCACGAAAGCGUGGGGAGCAAACAGG